AUAAAGAUAAACAACGGCGGUUUUAUUCAAACCAAAUGUCGAUUAUGUCUUAUACAGACCUUGGCUUUAUACGAUCAAGCGGCCGAAUUAAUAAAAUAUCUACUUUAUAUACUAAUUACAGGUGAAGAAAUAACAACUUUAACCAACCGCGUACUUCGAUACAAACUUGUAUAUAAAGGUGCACUCGAAUAUAUUUUAAUCCAAACAACUAUUGAUUACUACCGAGAAGGAAAGAAAAGCUUUUUAUCAUUUAUCUUAUGUAAAACACCGAGAACCCUUAGUGAUUAACCAAUGGAAAUCAACUACACUUUUUAGUUUACCCUAGAUACGAACAUGUAAGCAAAAUAAUAACAAUGAAAAUGAAUUGUAAAUUGAAAUAAGCAAUCUAACAUAUAAUUUUAGAUAUAUAAAAACCGAUUCCGCUACAUUCCCCCCAACUUAAAAAGCAAAUGUUUACAUUUGAACAUAUACAUAUAAAAAAAAUAAAGUCACAUUUUAAAGUUCCAGUUGGGUUUAACCACCAUACGAGUUUUCCCGUCGACAUCAGCAAAUGUUGCCACCUGAUCACGUGCGACAAGAUCAUCUGGAGUUUCUAAUUCAUUCAAAUGAAUGGCGUGUUGUCUAACAUAUUCCUCCCGUUGUUGCUGUGCCAUUUCCCUAGGUGUGAGGGCCUCAUAAUAUACCUCAUCGACUUCCACUAUUUCUUCAACUACUUCUUCAACUACUUAUUCAUCAUCAAAGUCGGCGUAGGUUACACCAGCAAUGCGGCAAUCGGCUUCUACCACUGCUUCUUCAGUACUACACGGACUCGGACGAACAUACUUAGGCAGGACCGCAGUUUCAGGGUCUUUGUACUGAGUGUUAAUGACAGUCACGGCGACAACUGACUUCAUUAGAUUUUCCAUGUUCCUACCCGUGACCCAAUGCAUAUCUCUGAUGUGCCGCUUAAGGUCAUUCCGUCUGGUGUCUGUUAUCCCACAUAACGGACACUUAUGGGCAUGUAUUUCCAAUUCAUGAUAUCUUUUCCAGUGGCGGACAAGCUGUCUAAAAUUGAGGUGUCCUGUACUGAGGGUGCCACUGGUCAAGGCAUGCCACCAACUGGACAACCAGGCCUUAAUGCUCUUGUGUCCAUGUCUAAACUAGCCAUGCUUCUCGAAGAUACCGUGUAAUCAUUGCUAAAAUUGAACAACAAUCAUCAUAAAAACAAAAAAAAAGAAGAAACACAAUUACGAAAUGAAUAGAAAAAAAAUUAAACUAACUAUGUGCUGUUCUUUUUCUUUUCUUCUUUUAUUUGUAUGGAUGUGUAGAUACGCGGUAAAAUACAUUCUGAAUAUAGAUUUUGAAAAUAUAGUUCAUUUAAAUCAUAAAGAUGAUAAUUAAACAGACGUGGCGCGACUCUACUACAUCAUGCGCGUGAUUUAAAUCCUGUACCCACAAUACUAUAAUCAAACACCAGGAUUCUAGUCUUACAAGCAAAACUUUCCUCCAAUAAACUCCUAAGGUCUAUAAAAACUUUGGAGGUUCUCUAAACCUAAAUCCAUCAAAUCUACAUAGUUUUAAACCUUAGUUAAGGCAAUCUCACUUGCAAUAUAUACCUAAAGUGUAUAGUGCAGUAAUACGAUUUUUAGUCACUUCGGCCUUAUCGAAACAUACAGCUUUGACGAGCAGAGUUCUUUGACCCAGUGUCAGAGCGAGUAUCAAUCAAUAUUAUGCACGCGUUUAUAGACAUGACACACGAGGCACUGCUUCGAAAUAUAAUAAAAACAGUUUCAUGGAAAAUUCUGUCAUUUCUAUAAACUGGCUCAUAAGAUCCAUGCCGUAUAUUUGUAUCAGUGUAUGAAAUUUUACUAGUUUUAAUAUAAGUAUAAACCAAAAAAAAAAAAAAAAUAACGCAAACAAAAAAAAUAAAAAAAAAUUUAUAUAUAUAUAUGAUGUGUUGUUUAAUCAGUAUGCAGCGAUAAUGUAAACGCAACACAUUAUGCCUUUGAAAUGUGAAAGAGAACUUCUGUAUGUGUGUGUGUUUUAUUUGUUAAAGUCAGCUAUAUGUUAACUCAGCCUAUAAAGCUACAGGUAUUUCUACAUUGUAAUGACGAGUUCCUUUUUAUCGUGUGUAUAAAUCAACAAUACUGUGAGUACGUGUGCCUACUCUUCGAACCCAACUUUACCUAUAAGUACACCGACAAAUCAAUACUUGACAUUGACCUCAAUAUCCUAGUAAUACUAAUUGAAACACCUGUAAUCGACAAUUUAUUAAAUCAAGCGUAAUUGAUCUUAUGGCUCGGAAUAAUUAAUUCCGAACACAAGUCUACUUGAUAUUUCCGACUAUAAAUUGUAUAAAACCGUCUGUUAACCUUAUGUCAAGGUUCGAACCACUGGGCCCCGAGAUUCCUUGGCCUAAGAGAUCCAGAUAAGUAAGUUUAAAUAAUUUAAUAAGGUCUCUAAAUAUAAGAGAUGUAAAAUGAUUGAAUAACAAUACAAGUAUCAAAGUCACAUAAAAUAUUACAUUGUAAAAUAAUGUAAAAGCUCCUAUCAAAAAUGUAAAAUGAAUAUUAAGUUUCGGCUUCUAAACAAAUGGGAUUUUACCGUAAAUACCCUAAACUAUUAAACUUUAUCGUAAUCUCAUUAAAUAUUAAAUUCAAACCCCAAAAAUAUAAAAGCUACUUUACUCAAUUCUUACUAGAACACGCUAUGGUCUAAAACCGGACAAAAUAAAGCAACGAAGAAUCACCCUGAGAAAUUAAAGCAUAUCGGUUUUAUUCAAACCAAGUUGCUGCGUCUUAUUCAGACAUCGGGGUAUAAUACACCCGUAAGCCCUUAAUAAUAAAGAUAAACAACGGCGGUUUUAUUCAAACCAAAUGUCGAUUAUGUCUUAUACAGACCUUGGCUUUAUACGAUCAAGCGGCCGAAUUAAUAAAAUAUCUACUUUAUAUACCAAUUACAGGUGAAGAAAUAACAACUUUAACAAACCGCGUUCUUCGAUACAAACUUGUAUAUAAAGGUGCACUCGAAAAUAUUUUAAUCUAAACAACUAUUGAUUACGACCGAGAAGAAAAGAAAAGCUUUUAAUCAUUUAUCUUAUGUAAAACACCGAGAACCCUUACUGAUUAACCAAUACAAAUUGACUACACUUUUUAGUUUAACCUGGAUACGAACAUGCAAGCAAAAUGAUAAUGAAAAUGAAUUGUUAAUUGAAAUAAGCCAUCCUACUUAUAAUUUUAAAUAUAUAAAAACCGAUUCCGCUACACUCGUACUAAUGUACAUUGGAAACAGAUUACCGUCCUCGUAUCCGAAUACAGUUACAGAGAUAUUAUUUUGGUCUUCAAAUUUGGGAAUCUGUUUUACUUGCACGGGAUAUGAUUGUGCUGUUUCUAGGAUAAACCAUAAGAUAACUAACAAGAAUUUUAUUUGCACAACUUUAUUCAUAUAAGGCACCGACAAGACAUCAAAUGGGUGCGUAGUGCAUCAUUCGAGUAUAAGGUAAAAACUGAAAAGAAAAAAGAAACAUCCUUUACAAUAUGAUCAAAAAAGCAUUCAUAAAAUGUUUCUCUGCUCUAAAAUACAAUCAAGAUGACAAAAAUAAAAUAUUAAUCAAAAGUGUCCCAAAUGGCGUGCCAUACAAACAAAAGUAGUGACGAAUACAUAAAUGUCACGAAUGGCGUUCCAUAGAUCAACAAUUUGCCGGGAGUUUCAUGAACAACUCACAUUUCAAAAAUUAACUUUACAAUAGGAAUAUCAAAUAAAAAUCAUUUACAGGGAUAGAAUAAAAUAUGUUUGACAAUAUUAUCAAUAUAAAAAGCUUACCACGUUACGAGACAGUGAUGAAAUAACAAGAAAUAGUGGUCAAAAUGCUCUCAAAACAAUGCAGAAAGUGAUGUGAUGUUACAAAAAAUAGAGUCAUAUACGGAUCUAAUUCCAGAAUUCCGGACACAGAACAAUGAUAUACCCGUCAUGUUCAACUCGUCUUCAUAUUGUUUAUAAUUUGCAGCCUAUUUAUAUUGAUUGCCUUUGGGUGAAGGUGUGCGAGAAUAGACUAUGCAAAACAUUUUUGGUCGUUAUUACAAAUGUUGGCAAUAAAAUGACUACCCUUGAGUGAAUACGGGUUUGAAUAUAGCUGGAUCCACCUAUGGGAC
This 4130-nucleotide long non-coding RNA is filed under the name Mytilus galloprovincialis (Mediterranean mussel). The record is from RNAcentral. Lineage: Eukaryota; Metazoa; Mollusca; Bivalvia; Mytilida; Mytilidae.